UACAGGGGGGGCAAGCGUUGUUCGGAAUUACUGGGCGUAAAGGGUUUGUAGGUGGCUUGCUAAGUCAGACGUGAAAUCCCUCAGCUUAACUGGGGAACUGCGUCUGAUACUGGCGAGCUUGAGUGCAGGAGAGGAACGCGGAAUUCCAGGUGUAGCGGUGAAAUGCGUAGAUAUCGGAAGGAACACCAGUGGCGAAAGCGGCUUCCUGGUCCAGCACCGACGUUCAGGCACGAAAGCGUGGGGAGCAAACAGG
This 253-nucleotide ribosomal RNA is filed under the name uncultured bacterium. RNAcentral's name for it is "partial 16S ribosomal RNA". It matches the Rfam family "Bacterial small subunit ribosomal RNA", at positions 524 to 776 of the family's 1533-position model. The record is from RNAcentral.